CGGUGACCGCGCUGCAGAUGGCGUCGGUCUACCAGACCAUCGCCAACGGCGGCGUCCGGAUCCCGCCGCGGAUCGUCUCCGCGGUCACCGCCC
Molecule: transfer RNA, 93 nt
Filed under: Klenkia terrae
Lineage: Bacteria; Bacillati; Actinomycetota; Actinomycetes; Geodermatophilales; Geodermatophilaceae
Also listed under: 1 other name
Description: tRNA-Gly
Source: RNAcentral